GUAUUUUGAAUUGUUUAUUCAUAAUAUUUUUCAGACAAAGAGUUAAAAGAUAAAGGUUGAUGUUUGGUCGAUCUCCAAGAAGAAGAUCGACUGACAUUGCACACAAGGUGGAUAUGGAUUUUUAAAGAGUGCCAUAAAACACUCAUUGUGAAUGAUCCUUCCGCAGGUUCACCUACGGAAA
RNAcentral lists this unclassified non-coding RNA (181 nucleotides) under uncultured fungus. RNAcentral describes it as "sequence contains ITS1". Lineage: Eukaryota; Fungi. The record is from RNAcentral.